AGUGAACGCUGGCGGUAGGCCUAACACAUGCAAGUCGAACGGCAGCACAGGAGAGCUUGCUCUCUGGGUGGCGAGUGGCGGACGGGUGAGGAAUACAUCGGAAUCUACUUUUUCGUGGGGGAUAACGUAGGGAAACUUACGCUAAUACCGCAUACGACCUACGGGUGAAAGCAGGGGAUCUUCGGACCUUGCGCGAUUGAAUGAGCCGAUGUCGGAUUAGCUAGUUGGCGGGGUAAAGGCCCACCAAGGCGACGAUCCGUAGCUGGUCUGAGAGGAUGAUCAGCCACACUGGAACUGAGACACGGUCCAGACUCCUACGGGAGGCAGCAGUGGGGAAUAUUGGACAAUGGGCGCAAGCCUGAUCCAGCCAUACCGCGUGGGUGAGGAAGGCCUUCGGGUUGUAAAGCCCUUUUGUUGGGAAAGAAAUCCAGCUGGCUAAUACCCGGUUGGGAUGACGGUACCCAAAGAAUAAGCACCGGCUAACUUCGUGCCAGCCGCCGCUGUAA
RNAcentral lists this ribosomal RNA (506 nucleotides) under uncultured bacterium. RNAcentral describes it as "partial 16S ribosomal RNA". It matches the Rfam family "Bacterial small subunit ribosomal RNA", at positions 29 to 523 of the family's 1533-position model. The record is from RNAcentral.